UGUCAAAAACUCAAAGAAAAAGACGAUGACUUUGAAGUCUAUAAGUCAUAUUUCUGUGAACGAGUGAACUGGCAACAUGUCGAGCCCGUAAGUAACUAGGUUUUUCCUAUAGAAAUUAUAGAAAGUCACAGUAAAAUCUUGAACCCAGAACAACAACAACAACAACAACAGCAGCUGGAUCAAUUGGUUCCUCGGAAUCAAGGGCAACGAGUUCCUCUGCCACGUGCCCACCAACUACUUUCAGGACACGUUCAACCAGAUGGGCCUGUAGUACUUCAGCCAGCACUGGACGUGAUCCUGAAGCCGGCGUUCGACAGUUCCUCGGGCUUGUUCUACGACGAUGAGAAAAAGUGGUACGGCAUGAUUCACCCCCGAUACAUCAGGUCGGAGCGUGGCGUGAAUGAUAUGCACCGAAACUAUAUGAGAGGAGACUUUGAAUCGUGUCCGAAUAUCUCCUGUAAUAGGAAGAACACCCUGCCAGUGGGCCUCAGCGAUGUGUGGGGCAAGUCAACGGUGAAGAUCUACUGCCCACGCUGUAAAAACUACUUCCAUCCUAAAACUGAUACACAGCCAUGUUAGGGCCCAGCUGUCCGGACAUCUUCUUAACGCAGCUGCCGAACUUGAGACCGCCCCUGGACGACCCACGGUAAGAAA
Non-coding RNA from Drosophila melanogaster (fruit fly), 654 nucleotides. NCBI's taxonomy places the organism in Eukaryota, Metazoa, Arthropoda, Insecta, Diptera, Drosophilidae. The record is from Ensembl.